This 468-nucleotide ribosomal RNA is filed under the name uncultured bacterium. RNAcentral's name for it is "partial 16S ribosomal RNA". It matches the Rfam family "Bacterial small subunit ribosomal RNA", at positions 28 to 507 of the family's 1533-position model. The record is from RNAcentral.
GACGAACGCUGGCGGCGUGCUUAACACAUGCAAGUCGAACGGAAAGGCCCUGCUUUUGUGGGGUGCUCGAGUGGCGAACGGGUGAGUAACACGUGAGUAACCUGCCCUUGACUUUGGUAUAACUUCAGGAAACUGGGGCUAAUACCGGAUAGGAGCUCCUGCUGCAUGGUGGGGGUUGGAAAGUUUCGGCGGUUGGGGAUGGACUCGCGGCUUAUCAGCUUGUUGGUGGGGUAGUGGCUUACCAAGGCUUUGACGGGUAGCCGGCCUGAGAGGGUGACCGGCCACAUUGGGACUGAGAUACGGCCCAGACUCCUACGGGAGGCAGCAGUGGGGAAUAUUGCACAAUGGGCGGAAGCCUGAUGCAGCAACGCCGCGUGCGGGAUGACGGCCUUCGGGCUGUAAACCGCUUUCGCCUGUGACGAAGCGUGAGUGACGGUAAUGGGUAAAGAAGCACCGGCUAACUACGUG